UCACACUGGUAGGAACGACAUUGCCUGUUAGUUGUUAUGAGAAGUAUGUUGGGAGAUUGCCACCUUCCUGAAAAUCACUGGACAAAGAAGCGAUGUGAUGGAAAACCAGAGUGCCAAAAGAAGGUGGAUUUGGCAGUUGCUGCUCCAUGAGACGAGUUUAUUUGCCUGCUCAAAAUUCAGACCUGGAAAGGAUGAAACCAGAUGGAACGCAAAAGCUACAUGGCAGAGCACAUUUUGGGCACUGGUUCAUUUGGCGCCGUCUUUCAGGCUAAAUGCUUGGAAACUGGGGAGACGGUAGCCAUUAAGAAGGUACUGUCGGGAGCUGCAGCUUAUGCGUUCGAUUAACCAUUCCAAUGUUGUCUUCCUCAAGCACUGCUUCUUCUCAACCACAAGUGGAGUGAGCUGUUUCUGAACCUUGUCACGGAGUAUGUCCCCGAGACGCUCUACCGCGGGCUUAAGAACUACAGUAAUGCCAAACAGGGGAUGUCACUUAUCUACGUCAAGCUUUACACCUAUCAGGUGGGCAGGGCCUUU
Molecule: long non-coding RNA, 534 nt
Organism: Triticum aestivum (bread wheat)
Lineage: Eukaryota; Viridiplantae; Streptophyta; Magnoliopsida; Poales; Poaceae
Exons: 3
Source: RefSeq, a predicted model, not a curated record